UAAGUUCAGAGUGGAGAUUUGUCAGUAUAAGAGAGAAGAAUCCCUUUUUGAUUAAGUCAGUGAAAUACAGUAUUUGGGAGAAUGGUUAUAUUUGAAGGCGACUUGUUCAUAUUCUGUUGCCACAGUGACAUCUGUUGAAUCUCAAUCUGCUAUUUUGGAAACUCUGAAAAAUAUGUUCAGAUGCUGUUCAACAGGCUAGAAUUUGAUUGCUGUGCUCAUCCUGUGACCACCCAACUCGAGACAACAGCCACGCCC
Long non-coding RNA from Diceros bicornis minor, 255 nucleotides. RefSeq lists it as uncharacterized. The record is from RefSeq and is a predicted model, not a curated record. The transcript has 3 exons. Lineage: Eukaryota; Metazoa; Chordata; Mammalia; Perissodactyla; Rhinocerotidae.